CUAGUUGUAUUAACUAUUAGUUAAUACAAGAUCGACUAUGUCGACUAAAGUUCUAGGUAGAAUAAUGAUGAUGACAAUUUUCUACCUAUAUGUCUUGACCAAAUCUCGUGCCAGCAGUCGCGGUAAUACGUGAAAGACUAGUGUUAUUCAUCUUUAAUAGGUUUAAAGGGUACCUAGACGGUUUAUCUAGCCCAAAACAGGGUACGGAUUUUCUAGAGUUUUAUGUGAGGAGGGGAGUACUCAUAGAGUAAAGAUGAAAUUUUGUGAUACUAUGGGGAAACUGGUGGCGGCGAAAGCAACCUUCUAUGUAUAAACUGACGUUGAGGGACGAAGGCUUGGGUAGCAAAUAGGAUUAGAUACCCUAGUAGUCCAAGCAGACAAUUCUGAAUGCCAUAGAUUAGAUUUUUUUUUGGUCUAUAAAUGAAAGUGUAAGCAUUCCACCUUAGGAGUAAUGUGGCAACACAGGAACUGAAAUCAUUAGACCGUUUCUGAAACCAGUAGUGAAGUAUGUUAUUUAAUUUGUUAGUCCUCAAAAAACCUUACCACAACUUGAAUAUUAUUUAAUUAAUACAAGCGUUGCACGGCUGUCUUCAGUUAAUGUCGUGAGAUUUUGGUUAACUCCCUCAAUUAACGUAAACCCUUACUUU
RNAcentral lists this ribosomal RNA (647 nucleotides) under Sarcogyne regularis. Its description in RNAcentral is "SSU rRNA". It matches the Rfam family "Bacterial small subunit ribosomal RNA", at positions 382 to 1112 of the family's 1533-position model. The record is from RNAcentral. Lineage: Eukaryota; Fungi; Ascomycota; Lecanoromycetes; Acarosporales; Acarosporaceae.